CCUACGGGAGGCAGCAGUGGGGAAUAUUGCACAAUGGGGGAAACCCUGAUGCAGCGACGCCGCGUGAGCGAUGAAGGAUUUCGGGAUGUAAAGCUCUAUCAGCAGGGAAGAAAAUGACGGUACCUGACGAAGAAGCCCCGGCUAACUACGUGCCAGCAGCCGCGGUAAUACGUAGGGGGCAAGCGUUAUCCGGAUUUACUGGGUGGAAAGGGAGCGUAGCCGGUCCUGCAAGCCAGAUGUGAAAGCCCGGGGCUCAACCCCGGGACUGCAUUUGGAACUGGAAGGCUAGAGUGUCGGAGAGGCAGGCGGACUUCCUAGUGUAGCGGUGACAUGCGUAGAUAUUAGGAGGACCCCCAGUGGCGAAGGCGGCCUGCUGGACUAUGCCUGACGUUGAGGCUCGAAAGCGUGGGGAGCAAACAGGAUUAGAUACCCUAGUAGUC
Molecule: ribosomal RNA, 440 nt
Filed under: uncultured bacterium
Lineage: Bacteria
Description: partial 16S ribosomal RNA
Rfam family: Bacterial small subunit ribosomal RNA
Source: RNAcentral